UACCCGCAGCACAAGUGGUGGUCAUUAUUAUUGGGCCUAAAGCGUCCGUAGCUGGCGUGUUAGAUGCCUGGGUAAAUCGAUGCGCUCAACGUAUCGAAUUCCGGGUAGACCGGCACGCUCGAGACCGGGAGAGGUGUAGGGUACUCGGGGGGGUAGGGGUAAAAUCCUGUAAUCCUCCGGGGACGACCAGUGGCGAAGGCGCUACACUAGAACGGCUCUGACAGUGAGGGACGAAGCCCUGGGGCGCAAACCGG
Molecule: ribosomal RNA, 254 nt
Filed under: uncultured bacterium
Lineage: Bacteria
Description: partial 16S ribosomal RNA
Rfam family: Archaeal small subunit ribosomal RNA
Source: RNAcentral